UACACGUGGAUAGAAAAAAGAAAGAUUCGCCGGAUCAGACGACUCAGAGAAGACGUCACAAGUCCCAAGACAGACUGUGGGCCCCACUCUGCACAGCCAAUGAAUGUCUCACUCAUCACAUUAAACCCACUAAUCACUUCAUUAAUCACACUAACCACCCUACGUUAAUCUCCUUGUCUUCUCCUUCUCCUUUUUCUUCUUCUUCUUCUUCGUCUUGUUC
RNAcentral lists this long non-coding RNA (220 nucleotides) under Carica papaya (papaya). RNAcentral's name for it is "long non-coding RNA (CPAP_LNC001900)". The record is from RNAcentral. Lineage: Eukaryota; Viridiplantae; Streptophyta; Magnoliopsida; Brassicales; Caricaceae.